CAUGUCACAGAAUGUAAAAUCGUUCAAGAGUGAAAACGAAAACGGUUUUAGCUUCUCUAAAAAACGGAAAACGCAAAAAUUUUGCGUUUUGAUAUCACUUUCAAAAAGCGGGGUGAAAUUGAAAUGUUUAGUGAUUUUAACGUAAAAAAUAAACAGAAGACACAUACAUUUAACAGAAAAUAUUGUAUUAACCAAAUUCUCUUAGAAUGAACAUGUUUUUGGAAUUUAUUUUACAAAAAAUUUUUCUAAUCCAUGAUGAAAAAUAAUAAAAAGGACUUGCGAGGAACUGGUGGUGGUGAUAUCAAUCAAUAUGUUUUCAGUGAACACGAGAACAGUUUAAUCAGAAUUUGCGGAUUGUAUAAAAGUGUCGAUGGAGUUGGUGGUGCAGUAAGCUUUGCGGAUUUUUCAAAACGUUCGAGUGCUGAAGAAGCAAAAGCAAAUCGUAACGAUUUGGAUAAG
Molecule: long non-coding RNA, 459 nt
Organism: Musca domestica (house fly)
Lineage: Eukaryota; Metazoa; Arthropoda; Insecta; Diptera; Muscidae
Exons: 2
Source: RefSeq, a predicted model, not a curated record